RNAcentral lists this ribosomal RNA (303 nucleotides) under uncultured bacterium. Its description in RNAcentral is "partial 16S ribosomal RNA". It matches the Rfam family "Bacterial small subunit ribosomal RNA", at positions 507 to 810 of the family's 1533-position model. The record is from RNAcentral.
AGCAGCCGCCGCGGGAAUACGAAGGGUGCAAGCGUUACUCGGAAUUACUGGGCGUAAAGCGUGCGUAGGUGGUGGUUUAAAUCCGUUGUGAAAGCCCUGGCUCAACCUGGGAAUCGCAGUGGAUACUGGGUCACUAGAGUGUGGUAGAGGAUAGUGGAAUUUCCGGUGUAGCAGUGAAAUGCGUAGAGAUCGGAAGGAACAUCUGUGGCGAAGGCGACUAUCUGUGCCAACACUGACACUGAGGCACGAAAGCGUGGGGAGCAAACAGGAUUAGAUACCCCAGUAGUCCUGUCUCUUAUACAC